Molecule: Y RNA, 105 nt
Organism: Papio anubis (olive baboon)
Lineage: Eukaryota; Metazoa; Chordata; Mammalia; Primates; Cercopithecidae
Rfam family: Y RNA
About the family: Y RNAs are components of the Ro ribonucleoprotein particle (Ro RNP), in association with Ro60 and La proteins. The Y RNAs and Ro60 and La proteins are well conserved, but the function of the Ro RNP is not known. In humans the RNA component can be one of four small RNAs -- hY1, hY3, hY4 and hY5.
Source: Ensembl
GGCUGAUCUGAAGAUGAUGAGUUAUCUCAAUUGAUUGUUCAGUUACAGAUCCAACUCCUUGCUCUAUUCUUUCCUCUCUUCUCACUACUGUACUUGGCUAGGAAA